This 461-nucleotide ribosomal RNA is filed under the name uncultured bacterium. RNAcentral describes it as "partial 16S ribosomal RNA". It matches the Rfam family "Bacterial small subunit ribosomal RNA", at positions 28 to 506 of the family's 1533-position model. The record is from RNAcentral.
GAUGAACGCUGACAGAAUGCUUAACACAUGCAAGUCUUUGGCGAAGCUGUGCUUGCACAGCCUAGCCAAGGCGGACGGGUGAGUAACGCGUAAGGAACUUGCCCUGCAGUCAGGGAUAACAGACGGAAACGACUGAUAAGACCUGGUAAAGUCAGGCGGACUCAUGUCCAGCCUGAUGAAAAGAGAUGCUGCAGGAGAGCCUUGCGUCCUAUUAGCUUGUUGGUGGGGUAACGGCCCACCAAGGCGAUGAUAGGUAGCCGGCCUGAGAGGGUGGACGGCCACAAGGGGACUGAGAUACGGCCCUUACUCCUACGGGAGGCAGCAGUGGGGAAUAUUGGACAAUGGGGGCAACCCUGAUCCAGCAAUUCUGUGUGCACGAUGAAGGUUUUCGGAUUGUAAAGUGCUUUCAGCAGGGAAGAAAAAAUGACGGGACCUGCAGAAGAAGCGACGGCUAAAUACGU